GUACCGAUGAAGAAUCCCAAACCAGGACGAAACAGUUGUCCAGUAC
Non-coding RNA from Trichobilharzia regenti, 46 nucleotides. The record is from Rfam. NCBI's taxonomy places the organism in Eukaryota, Metazoa, Platyhelminthes, Trematoda, Strigeidida, Schistosomatidae.